Chroicocephalus ridibundus (black-headed gull) is the source of this 1172-nucleotide long non-coding RNA. RefSeq lists it as uncharacterized. The transcript is spliced from 2 exons. The record is from RefSeq and is a predicted model, not a curated record. Lineage: Eukaryota; Metazoa; Chordata; Aves; Charadriiformes; Laridae.
GGUUUCAUCUCUUUCUGCAAAUUGCACAUUAAUUAACCAUUAAUAACAGUGGGAGCUGCAUGCAGAAAUCCACGCCCGCUGCGACGAGGCCGUGCCCGCCGUGAGCAAGUGCCUCAUUAAUUAAUCACCUGGGUUUCAGCGCCCCGGCUGCCCCCGCAGCCCCGCGAGACAAACGUCCCCGGAGAGGAAAGAGCCCUGACGCUCGCCAGCCCUAAUCCCGCCGUAAAGAAAAGCGUUACCUCUUGCUCUAUGAAUUUUAUUUAUUUUUGGUCCUCUGGGCAGCGCUUGCCGUUGUUAGAAACAUGAUUGCUUCAUACAGUUAUGUUAAUGUUUGCAUUUGACAGAAUGUAAUUGAUACUUCUGCUGCUCCGGCUUCAAAGCCAAAUUAGGAAAUGAAGUGCUGCGCUUUAGCUUGUUUAGCUGGUUAAAUACUGUAAAUAAAUACAUGCAGGGCAAUGAAAACUAAUGAGUUUUCUUUAAGGCAUUUUCUAAAUAGCUGGCUUCAUAAAAAAAUUUAAAAAAAAAAUAAAUAAAUAAAAGUUCCUGCUGUGAACUCAUAUCCUGAAGGAUUUGUCGUUUUGCUGCAAUGAAAAUUGAUCCUGGCUGAAAUCUGAACUCUGGAUUUCACUUGGAGAACAGGAUUUUGCAAGUUAUGGAGGAAUCGUGCAAACGGAGGAGGACUGAAGACUCCCAGCGCUUUUGAGGGAGGCCAGCAAUAUCUUGCAACUUCAAGAUGAAGACGGUUGACCAGCUCUGAGAAAAACACGAGAGAUCCGGACAGUCCUCAUCCAAAAAGGUCCAUUUAAAAAUAGACGAAUUAUGACUCUCUCAAAAAGAAAUGUACGCAUUGCAUAAAUCAAAGUUCUCACACCCACCAUCAAAGUUUAAUCACUUAAUACGCUGGUUCUUUCAACAUGCUCUGAAACUUUGUAUACAAUAAUACAAACGAUGGGGUUACGAAGCAAUAGCAAUUUAUUCUGCUGUACAAACGGAUGUUGCAUUAUAAUCCCUAAAGCAACACAGAGGCUGUUUGCAGAUGUUACUACAAUUUGGCGUUUAUUUUAAUUGCUCUACAGUGUAGCUCAUGUGAAAUAAAGUCAUGGGAUGACCUACGCAUUCACCUACUAAGGGUGACUUAAUUGCAGGGGGGGAAAAAAAAAAAAAAAAAAGAA